AUGAAACACUCCUACGGGAGGCAGCAGUGGGGAAUUUUGGACAAUGGGGGCAACCCUGAUCCAGCAAUGCCGCGUGAGUGAAGAAGGCCUUCGGGUUGUAAAGUACUUUCAGCGGGGAGGAAGGCGAUGCGGUUAAUAACCGCGUCGAUUGACGUUACCCGCAGAAGAAGCACCGGCUAACUCCGUGCCAGCAGCCGCGGUAAUACGGAGGGUGCAAGCGUUAAUCGGAAUUACUGGGCGUAAAGCGCACGCAGGCGGUCUGUUAAGUCAGAUGUGAAAUCCCCGGGCUUAACCUGGGAACUGCAUAUGAAACUGGCAGGCUUGAGUCUUGUAGAGGGGGGUAGAAUUCCAGGUGUAGCGGUGAAAUGCGUAGAGAUCUGGAGGAAUACCGGUGGCGAAGGCGGCCCCCUGGACAAAGACUGACGCUCAGGUGCGAAAGCGUGGGGAGCAAACAGGAUUAGAAACCCCUGUAGUCCGAAGUUC
This 483-nucleotide ribosomal RNA is filed under the name uncultured bacterium. Its description in RNAcentral is "bacterial SSU rRNA". It matches the Rfam family "Bacterial small subunit ribosomal RNA", at positions 328 to 802 of the family's 1533-position model. The record is from RNAcentral.